This 393-nucleotide ribosomal RNA is filed under the name uncultured bacterium. Its description in RNAcentral is "partial 16S ribosomal RNA". It matches the Rfam family "Bacterial small subunit ribosomal RNA", at positions 523 to 918 of the family's 1533-position model. The record is from RNAcentral.
AUACGUAGGAUCCGAGCGUUAUCCGGAUUUAUUGGGUUUAAAGGGAGCGUAGGCGGGAGAUCAAGUCAGCUGUGAAAUGUAGAUGCUCAACAUCUGCACUGCAGUUGAAACUGGUUUUCUUGAGUGCGUAAGGGGCAGGCGGAAUUCGUCGUGUAGCGGUGAAAUGCUUAGAUAUGACGAAGAACUCCGAUCGCGAAGGCAGCCUGCCGGGCCGCGACUGACGCUGAAGCUCGAAGGUGCGGGUAUCGAACAGGAUUAGAUACCCUGGUAGUCCGCACAGUAAACGAUGGAUACUCGCUGUCGGCGAUAUACGGUCGGUGGCCAAGCGAAAGCGUUAAGUAUCCCACCUGGGGAGUACGCCGGCAACGGUGAAACUCAAAUGAAUUGGCGGGG